This 981-nucleotide ribosomal RNA is filed under the name Streptomyces sp. LK4-24. RNAcentral describes it as "partial 16S ribosomal RNA". It matches the Rfam family "Bacterial small subunit ribosomal RNA", at positions 22 to 1041 of the family's 1533-position model. Lineage: Bacteria; Bacillati; Actinomycetota; Actinomycetes; Kitasatosporales; Streptomycetaceae. The record is from RNAcentral.
GNNUNAACUUAGCGGUNCCNGNCACUCUCUCUUNNCAUGCAAGUACNAACGAUGAAGCCCUUCGGGGUGGAUUAGUGGCGAACGGGUGAGUAACACGUGGGCAAUCUGCCCUUCACUCUGGGACAAGCCCUGGAAACGGGGUCUAAUACCGGAUACCACUCCUGCCCGCAUGGGCAGGGGUUGAAAGCUCCGGCGGUGAAGGAUGAGCCCGCGGCCUAUCAGCUUGUUGGUGGGGUAAUGGCCCACCAAGGCGACGACGGGUAGCCGGCCUGAGAGGGCGACCGGCCACACUGGGACUGAGACACGGCCCAGACUCCUACGGGAGGCAGCAGUGGGGAAUAUUGCACAAUGGGCGAAAGCCUGAUGCAGCGACGCCGCGUGAGGGAUGACGGCCUUCGGGUUGUAAACCUCUUUCAGCAGGGAAGAAGCGAAAGUGACGGUACCUGCAGAAGAAGCGCCGGCUAACUACGUGCCAGCAGCCGCGGUAAUACGUAGGGCGCAAGCGUUGUCCGGAAUUAUUGGGCGUAAAGAGCUCGUAGGCGGCUUGUCACGUCGGAUGUGAAAGCCCGAGGCUUAACCUCGGGUCUGCAUUCGAUACGGGCUAGCUAGAGUGUGGUAGGGGAGAUCGGAAUUCCUGGUGUAGCGGUGAAAUGCGCAGAUAUCAGGAGGAACACCGGUGGCGAAGGCGGAUCUCUGGGCCAUUACUGACGCUGAGGAGCGAAAGCGUGGGGAGCGAACAGGAUUAGAUACCCUGGUAGUCCACGCCGUAAACGUUGGGAACUAGGUGUUGCCGACAUUCCACGUCGUCGGUGCCGCANCUAACGCAUNANUUCCCCNCUGGGGAAUCNGNCGCANGGUNAAACUCAANGAUUGACGGGGCCCCCACAACNGCGGNACNGUGGNUUANUCCACNCACNNNANAACUUNCAGGNUGAANNNCCGNANCNUNAAANNNGCCCCNUNGGGCGGUACGGGGGCUGG